RNAcentral lists this small RNA (509 nucleotides) under Pan troglodytes (chimpanzee). RNAcentral's name for it is "retained intron". The record is from RNAcentral. Lineage: Eukaryota; Metazoa; Chordata; Mammalia; Primates; Hominidae.
CUGGGUGGACUCUCAGCAGAAGCGGUAUGUUCCAGUAAAAGGAGACCAUGUGAUUGGCAUAGUGACAGCUAAAUCUGGAGAUAUAUUCAAAGUUGAUGUUGGAGGGAGUGAGCCAGCUUCUUUGUCUUACUUGUCAUUUGAAGGUGCAACUAAAAGAAACAGACCAAAUGUGCAGGUUGGAGAUCUCAUCUAUGGCCAAUUUGUGGUUGCUAAUAAAGACAUGGAACCAGAGAUGGUCUGUAUUGACAGCUGUGGACGAGCCAAUGGAAUGGGUGUCAUUGGACAGGAUGGUCUGCUUUUUAAAGUGACUCUGGGCUUAAUUAGAAAGUAAGUCCUGAUGUCUGCUGGCUUGACUGCUUUUUAUAAUUAUACAUUCUUGGAAAGUUGGUUAAUCUUCAGGAUUCAGAUUCUUUGUAACAUUUGAAUUUCUCCUCAGAGUUAGAAAUCAGUAUCCAUUUUAACACAUUUGGAAACUCAUGAAUUUAAUCCUAUCUUCUUGGAAACAUAUC